This 209-nucleotide ribosomal RNA is filed under the name uncultured bacterium. RNAcentral's name for it is "partial 16S ribosomal RNA". It matches the Rfam family "Bacterial small subunit ribosomal RNA", at positions 568 to 774 of the family's 1533-position model. The record is from RNAcentral.
UGCGUAGGCUGUUUUGUGUGUCAGAUGUGAAAGCCCAUGGCUCAACCAUGGAAUUGCAUUUGAAACUGCAGAACUUGAGUAUCGGAGAGGUAGAUGGAAUUCUAGGUGUAGCGGUGAAAUGCGUAGAUAUCUAGAAGAACACCAGCGGACGAAAGCGAUCUACUGGACGAAUACUGACGCUGAGGCACGAAAGCCGAGGGGAGCGAAGA